CGCUUUCACUCCUACGGGGAGGCAGCAGUAGGGAAUCUUCCACAAUGGGCGCAAGCCUGAUGGAGCAACACCGCGUGAGUGAAGAAGGGUUUCGGCUCGUAAAGCUCUGUUGUUAAAGAAGAACACGUAUGAGAGUAACUGUUCAUACGUUGACGGUAUUUAACCAGAAAGUCACGGCUAACUACGUGCCAGCAGCCGCGGUAAUACGUAGGUGGCAAGCGUUAUCCGGAUUUAUUGGGCGUAAAGAGAGUGUAGGCGGUUUCUAAGUCUGAUGUGAAAGCCUUCGGCUUAACCGGAGAAGUGCAUCGGAAACUGGAUAACUUGAGUGCAGAAGAGGGUAGUGGAACUCCAUGUGUAGCGGUGGAAUGCGUAGAUAUAUGGAAGAACACCAGUGGCGAAGGCGGCUACCUGGUCUGCAACUGACGCUGAGACUCGAAAGUAUGGGUAGCGAACAGGAUUAGAUACCCUGGUAG
This 473-nucleotide ribosomal RNA is filed under the name uncultured bacterium. RNAcentral describes it as "bacterial SSU rRNA". It matches the Rfam family "Bacterial small subunit ribosomal RNA", at positions 328 to 793 of the family's 1533-position model. The record is from RNAcentral.